Long non-coding RNA from Lutra lutra (Eurasian river otter), 355 nucleotides. RefSeq lists it as uncharacterized. The record is from RefSeq and is a predicted model, not a curated record. The transcript is spliced from 3 exons. NCBI's taxonomy places the organism in Eukaryota, Metazoa, Chordata, Mammalia, Carnivora, Mustelidae.
AGAGUACAUCUGAGGACCACUAUUUGAGAAAUGCUAUCUGAAGGGGUGAAGUCAGUCUGUGGAAACAUAAAAUGGCCGGGCCCCCUUCUCAUCGAGCUUAGUGAACUCAGACGUUGGUGUUUGACUCACUGAAAAGAGAUGAGGACAGCAGGUGCCUGGAAGCAGCCCCCGAAACCAGCUGGAAGAAACUGUCCUAGGGCAACCUGCUGUGUUCCAGUUCACCUGUCAGGGGCCUGUUGCUAUGGUCAGGGACUGCACUGAACAAGUUCGUGCUUGGCUUUCCAGAGCACAGGAGAGUCCUGACUCUUGUCCAGAGAAGACAUUGGCCAUCUGGGACGAUCUAUCAUAAUUGGUG